RNAcentral lists this ribosomal RNA (1391 nucleotides) under Chryseobacterium sp. RNAcentral's name for it is "bacterial SSU rRNA". It matches the Rfam family "Bacterial small subunit ribosomal RNA". The record is from RNAcentral. Lineage: Bacteria; Pseudomonadati; Bacteroidota; Flavobacteriia; Flavobacteriales; Weeksellaceae.
CAUGCNAGCCGAGCGGUAGAGUCUCUUCGGAGACUUGAGAGCGGCGCACGGGUGCGGAACACGUGUGCAACCUGCCUUUAUCUGGGGGAUAGCCUUUCGAAAGGAAGAUUAAUACCCCAUAAUAUAAGAAACGGCAUCGUUUUUUAUUGAAAACUCCGGUGGAUAGAGAUGGGCACGCGCAAGAUUAGAUAGUUGGUGAGGUAACGGCUCACCAAGUCGACGAUCUUUAGGGGGCCUGAGAGGGUGAUCCCCCACACUGGUACUGAGACACGGACCAGACUCCUACGGGAGGCAGCAGUGAGGAAUAUUGGACAAUGGGUGAGAGCCUGAUCCAGCCAUCCCGCGUGAAGGACGACGGCCCUAUGGGUUGUAAACUUCUUUUGUAUAGGGAUAAACCUACNCUCGUGAGGGUAGCUGAAGGUACUAUACGAAUAAGCACCGGCUAACUCCGUGCCAGCAGCCGCGGUAAUACGGAGGGUGCAAGCGUUAUCCGGAUUUAUUGGGUUUAAAGGGUCCGUAGGCGGAUCUGUAAGUCAGUGGUGAAAUCUCACAGCUUAACUGUGAAACUGCCAUUGAUACUGCAGGUCUUGAGUGUUGUUGAAGUAGCUGGAAUAAGUAGUGUAGCGGUGAAAUGCAUAGAUAUUACUUAGAACACCAAUUGCGAAGGCAGGUUACUAAGCAACAACUGACGCUGAUGGACGAAAGCGUGGGGAGCGAACAGGAUUAGAUACCCUGGUAGUCCACGCCGUAAACGAUGCUAACUCGUUUUUGGGAUUUCGGUUUCAGAGACUAAGCGAAAGUGAUAAGUUAGCCACCUGGGGAGUACGAACGCAAGUUUGAAACUCAAAGGAAUUGACGGGGGCCCGCACAAGCGGUGGAUUAUGUGGUUUAAUUCGAUGAUACGCGAGGAACCUUACCAAGGCUUAAAUGGGAAAUGACAUGCUUAGAAAUAGGCUUUUCUUCGGACAUUUUUCAAGGUGCUGCAUGGUUGUCGUCAGCUCGUGCCGUGAGGUGUUAGGUUAAGUCCUGCAACGAGCGCAACCCCUGUCACUAGUUGCCAUCAUUAAGUUGGGGACUCUAGUGAGACUGCCUACGCAAGUAGAGAGGAAGGUGGGGAUGACGUCAAAUCAUCACGGCCCUUACGCCUUGGGCCACACACGUAAUACAAUGGCCGGUACAGAGGGCAGCUACACAGCGAUGUGAUGCAAAUCUCGAAAGCCGGUCUCAGUUCGGAUUGGAGUCUGCAACUCGACUCUAUGAAGCUGGAAUCGCUAGUAAUCGCGCAUCAGCCAUGGCGCGGUGAAUACGUUCCCGGGCCUUGUACACACCGCCCGUCAAGCCAUGGAAGUCUGGGGUACCUGAAGUCGGUGACCGUAACAGGAGCUGCCUAG